Molecule: long non-coding RNA, 1244 nt
Filed under: Numida meleagris (helmeted guineafowl)
Lineage: Eukaryota; Metazoa; Chordata; Aves; Galliformes; Numididae
Description: lncRNA (ENSNMEG00000006401.1)
Source: RNAcentral
NNNNNNNNNNNNNNNNNNGUGUCCAUGCACACAUACGUGUCAAUGCACACAUACAUGUCCAUGCACACAUACGUGUCCAUGCACGCAUACGUGUCCAUGCACAUAUACGUGUCAAUGCACACAUACGUGUCAAUGCACACACACGUGUCCGUGCACACAUACAUGUCAAUGCACACAUACAUGUGACUGCGCAUGCGUGUUAACGGGCGCACACGUGUUAGCGCAUACUCACGCAUCCACGUACACGCCCGCACCGUGGCGCAGCCCCGUGUCACCGCGCGGCCCCUUUAAGGCCCCGCGCGUCAGAGGGCAGAAAUCCGCCCGCGCCGCCGCUCUUAAAGGGGACGCGGCGCCUCGCGGGAGCGCCGCGCGCGCGCACGUGUGCGUGGGGCGAAGUGCACGGGCACGCGCACGCGGGUGGGGCCGGGGGUGCGUGGGGCGCGCUCGUGUCGUGGCAGGUUUGUGCGUGUGUGUGCGUGAGAGCUCGCCUCGCUGCAUACAUCUGUAUUUGCGGGCUCCGAUGUUAGUGCACACGCGUGUCAUUGCACGCACGUAUUGUUGCACAUGCUCACAUCAAUGCACGUGGACGUGUAAAUGCAUGCACCAUCAUGCACUUAUGGGUCACUGCAUGCACACGUAUGGCAAUGCACACAUGUUUGCACACACACGUGACUAUAGACACACAUGUUAUUGCAACCACAGGUCAUUGCACACGCAUGUCACUCCAUACACACAUUGGUGCACGUAUACAUGUUCCUGCAGACGCGCAUUGCUGCAUGCAUACCCAUCCUUGCACACUCACACGUCACCACGUGACACACGUACAUCAGCACACACAUGUUAUAACACACUGAUGAAUCAUGAGAUGCGCAUACCCCUACAUACAUGUGCUAUUGCACGCACACGUGUGUCCAUGCACAGGCACGCAUUGUUGCACACGCACAUCAUUGCACGCACACAUCAGUGCACAUGCAUGUGAGUGGGCACACAUGUCAGUGGAUGUACAUGUAUCCAUGCAGACCAGUAAUGGGCUCACACGCAUCUAUGCACACGCAUGUCACUGUGCACACAUGUCUGUGCACACGCAUGUGGAUGGGCACACCAUGCACAGGCAUGUUAACGGGCACACCCGUGUCCAUGCACAUGCGUGUCAGUGCGCACGCAUGUCAACACACAUACAUGUGAACGGGCACACCUGUGUCAAUGCACACACACGUGUCCAUGCACACAUACGUGUCAAUGCA